UUUAUGGAGAGUUUGAUCCUGGCUCAGGAUGAACGCUGGCGGCGUGCCUAAUACAUGCAAGUCGAGCGAACGGACGAGAAGCUUGCUUCUCUGAUGUUAGCGGCGGACGGGUGAGUAACACGUGGAUAACCUACCUAUAAGUCUGGGAUAACUUCGGGAAACCGGAGCUAAUACCGGAUAAUAUUUUGAACCGCAUGGUUCAAAAGUGAAAGACGGUCUUGCUGUCACUUAUAGAUGGAUCCGCGCUGCAUUAGCUAGUUGGUAAGGUAACGGCUUACCAAGGCAACGAUGCAUAGCCGACCUGAGAGGGUGAUCGGCCACACUGGAACUGAGACACGGUCCAGACUCCUACGGGAGGCAGCAGUAGGGAAUCUUCCGCAAUGGGCGAAAGCCUGACGGAGCAACGCCGCGUGAGUGAUGAAGGUCUUCGGAUCGUAAAACUCUGUUAUUAGGGAAGAAUAUAUGUGUAAGUAACUGUGCACAUCUUGAC
This 490-nucleotide ribosomal RNA is filed under the name Staphylococcus aureus. RNAcentral describes it as "bacterial SSU rRNA". It matches the Rfam family "Bacterial small subunit ribosomal RNA", at positions 1 to 473 of the family's 1533-position model. The record is from RNAcentral. Lineage: Bacteria; Bacillati; Bacillota; Bacilli; Caryophanales; Staphylococcaceae.